CCCUUAGAUGUCCUGGGCUGCACGCGCGCUACACUGAUGUGUCCAGUAAGCACCUAACCUCUUCCGAAAGGAACGGGUAACCUUUGCAAAGCACAUCGUGAUGGGAAUAGAUUAUUGCAAUUAUUAGUCUUGAACGAGGAAUUCCUAGUAAGCACAAGUCAUCAGCUUGUGUUGAUUACGUCCCUGCCCUUUGUACACACCGCCCGUCGCUCCUACCGAUUGAAUGUUCCGGUGAGCUCUUCGGACUGCGCGGUCUGCAGUUUCUGCGUUCCGUGCGGAAAGUUGCGCAAACCUUAACAUUUAGAGGAAGGAGAAGUCGUAACA
Molecule: ribosomal RNA, 324 nt
Filed under: uncultured eukaryote
Lineage: Eukaryota
Description: partial 18S ribosomal RNA
Rfam family: Eukaryotic small subunit ribosomal RNA
Source: RNAcentral